RNAcentral lists this transfer RNA (60 nucleotides) under Hormogaster castillana. Its description in RNAcentral is "tRNA-Ala". The record is from RNAcentral. Lineage: Eukaryota; Metazoa; Annelida; Clitellata; Crassiclitellata; Hormogastridae.
AUGCAACUUAGUUUAUUUAGAAUAAUCAACUUGCCCUUGAUAGGAGAGAAUCUCAAUAGA